This is a non-coding RNA of Xyrichtys novacula (pearly razorfish), 11948 nucleotides long. The record is from the annotation of a GenBank genome assembly. NCBI's taxonomy places the organism in Eukaryota, Metazoa, Chordata, Actinopteri, Labriformes, Labridae.
CGCGUUGGGGGGGGGACGCGACACAGCUCGGGCCCGCCAGUGCCCCAACGGGGUCCUAGUUAGGGCCCGAGCAUAGCUGCUAAGCAGCUGCGAGAGCCCUAUUAUUCCCCAAGUGGUUUUUCUUUGUUUCUUUCUUAGGGCCCGAGCGUAGCUGCUAAGCAGCUGCGAGAGCCCUAUUAUUCCCCAAGUGGUUUUUCUUUGUUUCUUUCUUUCUUCUUUUUCCUCCCCUUUGAACUGGAAAAUGGCCCACUUCCCACUGGCGAAAACUCAUGAAAUUUGGCAGGAUGACCGGGCCUGGUGAAAAAUUUGAUAUUCCGAAGUCGCCCAAACAAGAAAAUGCAAAAUGGCUCCAUAGCGCCCCCUAAGGUGAAAAUUCACACUAUUGACUGUCACGCCUUUACGCUUUGUCAUAUUGACACAAAAAUUGACACACACAUGUAUCUCAAUAAGAUCUACAAAAAAGUCAGUGCGGGCGUAUCUGUCAAAUGUACGGUUAAAGGGUUAUUCCGCAUUUUUUGCCGAUACGCACACAUUGGAAUUUCGCUAACUCCUCCUAAGGCUUUCGUUCCACCGGCACCACAUUUGCUCAGGCCAAUCUACACCCCAUGGCCAUUAAAAGUUAUCCAAAUCAUGACGCUGCACCCCACGGUUUAGGUUCUAGGGGGCGCAAAAGAUAACCCUAAAAUCCACAUAUUUAAAAGUCUUAUAACUUUUUAUUUUUGCCCUCACUGGCCUCCAAGUUUUCUAGGAUGAUGCAAUGUCCAGCCAUCAACACAUUUGUGAAGGAAUUUUUAAUCCCCAAAAGAGCGCCCCCCCAUGGCAGGAGAAAAAAGUCAAUUUUUUCUUGUCCCCUAAGGUGAAAAUACACAUUGUUGAGUGUCAUGCCUGUACGCUUUGUCAUAUUGACACAAAAUUUGACACACACAUGUAUCUCAAUAAGAUCUAUGAAAAAGUCGAUGCGCGCGUAUCUGUCAAAUGUACGGUUAAAGGGUUAUUCCGCAUUUUUUGCUGAUCCGCACACAUUGGAAUUUCGCUAACUCCUCCUAAGGCUGGCGUUUCACCGGCACCACAUUUGCUCAGGCCAAUCUACACCCCAUGGCCAUUAAAAGUUAUUCAAAUCAUGACGCUGCACCCCACGGUUUAGGUUCUAGGGGGCGCCAAAGAUAACCCUAAAAUCCACAUAUUUCAAAGUCUUAUAACUUUUUAUUUUUGUCCUCACUGGCCUCCAAGUUUUCUAGGAUGAUGCAAUGUCCAGCCAUCAACACAUUUGUGAAGGAAUUUUUACUCCCCAAAAGAGCGCCCCCCAUGGCAGGAGAAAAAAGUCAAUUUUUUCUUGUCCCAUAAGGUGAAAAAACACAUUGUUGACUGUCAUACCUGUACGCUUUGUCAUAUUGACACAAAAAUUGACAAUCACAUGUAUCUCAAUAAGAUCUACGAAAAAGUCAAUGCGCGCGUAUCUGUAAAAUGUACGGUUAAAGGGCUAUUUUGCAUUUUUUGCCGAUUCGCACACAUUGGAAUGUGGCUAACUCCUCCUAAGGCUUUCGUCCCACUGACACCAAAUUUGCUCAGGCCAAUCUACACCCCAUGGCCAUUCAAAGUUGUAAAAAUCAUGACGCUGCACCCCACGGUUUACGUUCUAGGGGGCGCCAAAGAUGACCCAAAUAUCCACAUUCUUAAAAGAAUCCACAUUCCCCCCCCCCCCCAUCCCCCAACCCCCAUGGCAGGAGAAACAGUCAAGUUUUUCCUGCCCAUCACUCAAUGGCUCAAUCGCAUCACUCUCCCGGCAACACCGUAACGAGGAGCAACCUGCCAUUUGGAUAUAUCCUAGCUGUGUUUCUGCCUUCACUCAUGGUCCAGACCUUUUUCAAAUAGGACAUGUAGUUUGUCUGCAGCGAGCGUUUUGGUAGAAACUGCGCCUCCCAUUCAUUAUAAUGGGAAAUGACCACAGACAAGUGCGCACACCAUCUUUGGACCUUGAGUGUGACGCGAUCGGGAGGGGGAGGCGGUCGCGCUGGGGGCGGCGCGAUGCGGCUCGGGCCCGACAGUGCCCCACCGGGGUCCUAGUUAGGGCCCGAGCCAGCUGCAGAGCAGCCGGGCGUAGGCCCUGUUAUUCCUGUAGGGGUUUUUCUUUGUUUCUUUCUUUAGGGCCCGAGCGUAGCUGCUAAGCAGCUGCGAGAGCCCUCUUGUUCCUGCAUGUUUCCUUCUUUCGUUAUUAUUUUUCCUCCGCUUUAAACUGGAAAAUGGCCCACUUCCCACUGGCGAAAACUCAGGAAAUUUGGCAGGACGACCGGGCCUGGUGAAAAAUUCGAUAUUCUGAAGUCGCCCAAACAAUAAAAUGCAAAAUGGCUCCAUAGCGCCCCCUAAGGUGAAAAUUCACAUGACGGCUGUACGCUUUGUCAUAUUGACACAAAAAUUGACACACACAUGUAUCUCAAUAAGAUCUACAAAAAAGUCAGUGCGGGCGUAUCUGUCAAAUGUAAGAUUAAUGGGUUAUUUUGCAUUUUUUGCAGAUCUGCACACAUUGGAAUUUCGCUAACUCCUCCGAAGGCUUUCGUUCGACCGGCACCACAUUUGCGCAGGCCAAUCUACCCCCCAUGGCCAUUAAAAGUUGUACAAAUCAUGACGCUGCACCCCACGGUUUACGUUCUAGGGGGCGCCAAAGAUAACCCAAAAUCCACAUUCUUAAAAGUCUUAUAACUUUUUAUUUUUGUCCUCACUGCCCUCCAAGUUUUCUAGGAUGAUGCAAUGUCCAGCCAUCAACACAUUUGUGAAGGAAUUUUUACUCCCCAAAAGAGCGCCCCCCCAUGGCAGGAGAAAAAAGUCAAUUUUUUCUUGUCCCCUUACAUGAAAAUACACAUUGUUGAGUGUCACGGCUGAACGCUUUGUCAUAUUGACACAAAAAUUGACAAUCAUGUGUAUCUCAAUUAGAUCUACGAAAAAGUCAAUGACGCGCGUAUCUGUAUAAUGUACGGUUAAAGGGCUAUUUCGCAUUUUUUGCCGAUUCGCACACAUUGGAAUGUGGCUAUCUCCUCCUAAGGCUUUCGUCCCACCGAUACCAAAUUUGCUCAGGGCAAUCUACACCCCAUGCCCAUUCAAAGUUGUAAAAAUCAUGACGCUGCACCCCACGGUUUACGUUCUAGGGGGCGCCAAAGAUGACCCAAAAAUCCACAUUCUUAAAAGUCAUUUUGGCCACUGCAGGAGUACAGAGUACUGCAGUUCUAGGGGGCGCCAAAGAUGACCCAAAAAUCCACAUUCUUAAAAGUCUUUUUGGCCACUGCAGGAGUACAGAGUACUGCAGGAUACACACACAUACACACACACACACACACACACACACACACACACACACACACAGACACACACACACACUCAGAGUCUGUUUUUUAGCACCUGCAAAAACAUGCUGUUUACAUAUUUGACAAGAAUGCAGAGGCUUCCUUUUGCCCCUGAAAAAAAUCAGAUUUCAAACACAACUUGACUGUUCAUUUCUCCAAAAGACAACCAUGAAGCUCCAUCCAAACCUGAAGCAGAUAGUUGGUGCAUGUGUACAGUAACCUGAGGGGAGUGAGGUGACUAUUUCUGAGGAGAACAUGAGCAGUGAAGAUUCACCUUGGAGCUAGAACAGGGACGUGCACAUGAUUAUACAGGGGCAGGGGCUCAAGUUUUUUCCAGUCAUUUAUACAAUAUGGAAAUUAAUGUGAAAUUAAAACACAAAUAUGUGUGAUGAACUGUUUUUAAAACUUAAACUUCAAAUAAAAAUUGUAAACUUCAAAACAUAUGCAAAUUUUUAACAAAGAACAUAGUAAUUUACCUCUAUUUACAUCAAAAUGCAGGCAAUGGCCCAGGCGUUCUUUGUAAAAUUAUUUACAAAACACUGUAUAGUCUCACAAAUGCCACUAUUUAUUCAUGCCACUACAAAAAAACAUGAUGUAAAUGAUGCAUGAUGUAAAACAUGAUGUAAAAAACUUGUGUAGAUCCUCCUCUAUGUCAGUCCAUGUGUAAUUUUUCCAUAAUUCUUUGUUUUUUGCAGCAUUUUUGUUAGUGUAACUGCAGAUUGUGCUGACAGUCUAUGGCAAAAAAAACAAAAACUGAAAAUGCCUCAACAUGAACCCCUGGUGGUCUCUGAGGGUGAAACCUGCUAACUGCUGCAGCUCUGUCAGCUUCAGUCUCCCAUGCAGAGCUCGGAGCGCAUGUGUGGCUCUGCACCCUUAGCAGCGUUGCUAACUCCUCAGUAAGGAAAGCCUGCUUCAUGUCAGAGUCUCUAAACUCCAGAAGAAGUCGAUAAAAGUCCCUUUCUUUCUAAAAAAAAGUCGUUAGGGGGUCUGAAAAGUAAUUGAAUCUAACAACAAAGUCGCUAGGUUUGCAACUACGUGUCCCAGACUGCAUCCCUGCUGAGAGUCCCUCCCUCCCUUCUCAUGUUGCAGGAAGAACGUAAGCGCCCGCCCCUUGUCAAUCAGUCACCAUAUAAUUUUGGAUUGGUUGUUGUGGUGAAGUUUUCCACCAAUAGGAGAGAUGUUGUGGUGUGUUUUUUUUUUCUUUUGGCAAGCCUUUUCCGCCUGUAAGACCUGUCGCUAAUGUGUGCAUGCUAUGUUUUCCUGUCUCAUACAGCGCGAUCGAGCGCCGAACGUGAUCAAAAUAAGCAGAAAAAAAGUAUCGCGGACAUAAUUUAUCAUAACUCUGGUUUUAUUUGGCCUAUCAACACAAUUUAAAAACUGGUAUAUAGGUUGAGGUCCUCACUUUUGAGAUAAGUUGAAACGGAGAGUUAACGAGGCUCCGUCUUGCAGCUACAUCCGGUUAAAUAUGUCAUGUGACUUGAACGCUGGGGAGCGUCAAUCGAAUCGAAUCAAACCUAACUCUCAGAUGAAUCUUCAAAAUUCACCUCAGAAAUAUGCUUAUUAUUCUUCUCAGAGUACUGCAGGAUACACACACACACACACACACAGACACACACACACACACGCACACACACACACACACACACACACACACACACACUCAGAGUCUGUUUUUUAGCACCUGCAAAAACAUGCUAUUUACAUAUUUGACAAGAAUGCAGAGGCUUCCUUUUGCCCCUGAAAAAAAUCAAAUUUCAAACACAACUUGACUGCUCAUUUCUCCAAAAGACAACCAUGAAGCUCCAUCCAAACCUGAAGCAGGCAGUUGGUGCAUGUGUACAGUAACCUGAGGGGAGUGAGGUGACUGCUUCUAAGGAGAACAUGAGCAGUGAAGAUUCACCUUGGAGCUAGAACAGGGACGUGCACAUGAUAAUACAGGGGCAGGGGCUCAAGUUUUUUCCAGUCGUUUAUACAAUAUGGAAAUUAAUGUGAAAUUAAAAAACAAAGUAUGACUGUCCUGUGUAGGUGACAGUGAUAUCCAAUAGGCUAGGCACUCACGAGGCUGGCUGUGGCAAGUGUAAGUGAAAGCAACACGCACUGGCAGGAAGAACAGCAAACGCCGAUGAAGGAAAAGGGUCUUUGCAGUGAUGGGCGUUACCAGAGAGGGCGAUGGCCAGAGGACACGAAUGGGACAGGGAGGCAGCGCGUUGGGGGGGGGGGGGGUGCGACACGGCUCGGGCCCGCCAGUGCCCCAACGGGGCCCUAGUUAGGGCCCGAGCGUAGCUGCUAAGCAGCUGCGAGAGCCCUCUUGUUCCUGUAGUUUCCUUCUUUUGUUAUUAUUAUUAUUUUUCCUCCCCUUUGAACUGGAAAAUGGCCCACUUCCCACUGGCGAAAACUCAUGAAAUUUGGCAGGACGACCGGGCCUGGUGAAAAAUUUGAUAUUCCGAAGUCGCCCAAACAAGAAAAUGCAAAAUGGCUCCAUAGCGCCCCCUAAGGUGAAAAUUCACACUAUUCACUGUCACGCCGGUACGCUUUGUCAAAAUGACACAAAAAUUGACACACACAUGUAUCUCAAUAAGAUCUACAAAAAAGUCAGUGCGGGCGUAUCUGUCAAAUGUACGGUUAAAGGGUUAUUGCGCAUUUUUUGCCGAUCCGCACACAUUGGAAUUUCGCUAACUCCUCCGAAGGCUUUCGUUCCACCGGCACCACAUUUGCUCAGGCCAAUCUACACCCCAUGGCCAUUAAAAGUUAUUCAAAUCAUGAUGCUGCACCCCACGGUUUAGGUUCUAGGGGGCGCCAAAGAUAACCCUAAAAUCCACAUAUUUCAAAGUCUUAUAACUUUUUAUUUUUGCCCUCACUGGCCUCCAAGUUUUCUAGGAUGAUGCAAUGUCCAGCCAUCAACACAUUUGUGAAGGAAUUUUUACUCCCCAAAAGAGCGCCCCCCCAUGGCAGGAGAAAAAAGUCCAUUUUUUCUUGUCCCAUAAGGUGAAAAUUCACACUAUUGACUGUCACGCCUGUACGCUUUGUCAAAAUUACACAAAAAUUGACACACACAUGUAUCUCAAUAAGAUCUACAAAAAAGUCAAUGCUGGCGUAUCUGUCAAAUGUACGGUUAAAGGGUUAUUGCGCAUUUUUUGCCGAUCCGCACACAUUGGAAUUUCGCUAACUCCUCCGAAGGCUUUCGUUCCACCGGCACCACAUUUGCUCAGGCCAAUCUACACCCCAUGGCCAUUAAAAGUUAUUCAAAUCAUGACGCUGCACCCCACGGUUUAGGUUCUAGGGGGCGCCAAAGAUAACCCUAAAAUCCACAUAUUUAAAAGUCUUAUAACUUUUUAUUUUUGUCCUCUCUGGCCUCCAAGUUUUCUAGGAUGAUGCAAUGUCCAGCCAUCAACACAUUUGUGAAGGAAUUUUUACUCCCCAAAAGAGCGCCCCCCCAUGGCAGGAGAAAAAAGUCCAUUUUUUCUUGUCCCAUAAGGUGAAAAUACACAUUGUUGACUGUCAUACCUGUAUGCUUUGUCAUAUUGACACAAAAUUUGACACACACAUGUAUCUCAAUAAGAUCUACGAAAAAGUCAAUGCACGCGUAUCUGUAAAAUGUACGGUUAAAGGGCUAUUUUGCAUUUUUUGCCGAUUAGCACACAUUGGAAUGUGGCUAACUCCUCCUAAGGCUUUCGUCCCACUGACACCAAAUUUGCUCAGGCCAAUCUACACCCCAUGGCCAUUCAAAGUUUUAAAAAUCAUGACGCUGCACCCCACGGUUUACGUUCUAGGGGGCGCCAAAGAUGACCCAAAUAUCCACAUUCUUAAAAGAAUCCACAUCCCUCCCCCCCAUCCCCCAUCCCCCAUCCCCCAUGGCAGGAGAAACAGUCAAGUUUUUCCUGCCCAUCACUCAAUGGCUCAAUCGCAUCGCUCUCCCGGCAACACCGUAACGAGGAGCAACUUGCCGUUUGGAUAUAUCCUAGCUGUGUUUGUGCCCUCACUCAUGGUCCAGACUUUUUUCAAAUAGGACAUGUAGUUUGUCUGCAGCGAGUGUUUUGGUAGAAACUGCGCCUCCCAUUCAUUAUAAUGGGAAAUGACCACAGACAAGUGCGCACACCAUCUUUGGACCUUGAGUGUGACGCGAUCGGGAGGGGGAGGCGGUCGCACUGGGGGCGGCGCAACGCGGCUCGGGCCCGCCAGUGCCCCAACGGGGCCCUAGUUUCUUCUUUUUCCUCCCCUUUGAACUGGAAAAUGGCCCACUUCCCACUGGCGAAAACUCAUGAAAUUUGGCAGGACGACCGGGCCUGGUGAAAAAUUUGAUAUUCCGAAGUCGCCCAAACAAGAAAAUGCAAAAUGGCUCCAUAGCGCCCCCUAAGGUGAAAAUUCACACUAUUCACUGUCACGCCUGUACGCUUUGUCAAAAUGACACAAAAAUUGACACACACAUGUAUCUCAAUAAGAUCUACAAAAAAGUCAGUGCGGGCGUAUCUGUCAAAUGUACGGUUAAAGGGUUAUUCCGCAUUUUUUGCCGAUCCGCACACAUUGGAAUUUCGCUAACUCCUCCGAAGGCUUUCGUUCCACCGGCACCACAUUUGCUCAGGCCAAUCUACACCCCAUGGCCAUUAAAAGUUAUUCAAAUCAUGACGCUGCACCCCACGGUUUAGGUUCUAGGGGGCGCCAAAGAUAACCCUAAGAUCCACAUAUUUAAAAGUCUUAUAACUUUUUAUUUUUGCCCUCACUGGCCUCCAAGUUUUCUAGGAUGAUGCAAUGUCCAGCCAUCAACACAUUUGUGAAGGAAUUUUUACUCCCCAAAAGAGCGCCCCCCCAUGGCAGGAGAAAAAAGUCCAUUUUUUCUUGUCCCCUAAGGUGAAAAUACACAUUGUUGAGUGUAACACCUGUACGCUUUGGCAAAAUGACACAAAAAUUGACACACACAUGUAUCUCAAUAAGAUCUACGAAAAAGUCAAUGCGCGCGUAUCUGUCAAAUGUACGGUUAAAGGGUUAUUCCGCAUUUUUUGCCGAUCCGCACACAUUGGAAUUUCGCUAACUCCUCCGAAGGCUUUCGUUCCACCGGCACCACAUUUGCUCAGGCCAAUCUACACCCCAUGGCCAUUAAAAGUUAUUCAAAUCAUGACGCUGCACCCCACGGUUUAGGUUCUAGGGGGCGCCAAAGAUAACACUAAAAUCCACAUAUUUCAAAGUCUUAUAACUUUUUAUUUUUGUCCCCACUGGCCUCCAAAAUUUCUAGGAUGAUGCAAUGUCCAGCCAUCAACACAUUUGUGAAGGAAUUUUUACUCCCCAAAAGAGCGCCCCCCCAUGGCAGGAGAAAAAAGUCCAUUUUUUCUUGUCCACUAAGGUGAAAAUACACAUUGUUGAGUGCUACGCCUGUAUGUUUUGUCGUAUUGACACAAAAUUUUACAUACACGUGUAUUUCAAUAAGAUCUUCGAAAAAGUCAAUGGCCACGUAUCUGUAAAAUGUACAGUUAAAGGGUUAUUUCGCAUUUUUUGCAGAUUCGCACACAUUGGAAUUUCGCUAAUUCCUCCGAAGGCUUUCGUUCCACCGGCACCACAUUUGCUCAGGCCAAUCUACACCCCAUGGCCAUUAAAAGUUAUUCAAAUCAUGACGCUGCACCCCACGGUUUAGGUUCUAGGGGGCGCCAAAUAUAACCCUAAAAUCCACAUAUUUAAAAGUCUUAUAACUUUUUAUUUUUGUCCUCACUGGCCUCCAUGUUUUCUAGGAUGAUGCAAUGUCCAGCCAUCAACACAUUUGUGAAGGAGUUUUUUCUCUUUAAAAGAGCGCCCCCCAUGGCAGGAGAAUAAAGUCAAGUUUUUCCUGUUCAUCAUUCAAUGGCUCAAACGCACUGCUCUCUCGGCAAAAGCGAAAGGAGGAGCAACUUGCCAUUUGGAUAUAUCUUAGCUGUGUUUGUGCCCUCACUCAUGGUCCAGACUUUUUUCAAAUAGGACAUGGAGUUUUUCUGCAGCGAGCGUUUUGGUAGAAACUGCGCCUCCCGUUCAUUAUAAUGGUAAAUGACCACAAACAAGUGCGCACACCAUCUUUGGACCUUGAGUGUGACGCGAUCGGGUGGGGGAGGCGGUCGCGCUCGGGGCGGCGUGACACGGCUCGGGCCCGCCAGUGCCCCAACGGGGCCCUAGUUCUUCUUUUUCCUCCCCUUUGAACUGGAAAAUGGCCCACUUCCCACUGGCGAAAACUCAUGAAAUUUGGCAGGAUGACCGGGCCUGGUGAAAAAUUUGAUAUUCCGAAGUCGCCCAAACAAGAAAAUGCAAAAUGGCUCCAUAGCGCCCCCUAAGGUGAAAAUUCACACUAUUGACUGUCACGCCUUUACGCUUUGUCAAAAUGACACAAAAAUUGACACACAUAUGUAUCUCAAUAAGAUCUACAAAAAAGUCAGUGCGGGCGUAUCUGUCAAAUGUACGGUUAAAGGGUUAUUGCGCAUUUUUUGCCGAUCCGCACACAUUGGAAUUUCGCUAACUCCUCCGAAGGCUUUCGUUCCACCGGCACCACAUUUGCUCAGGCCAAUCUACACCCCAUGGCCAUUAAAAGUUAUUCAAAUCAUGACGCUGCACCCCACGGUUUACGUUCUAGGGGGCGCCAAAGAUAACACUAAAAUCCACAUAUUUCAAAGUCUUAUAACUUUUUAUUUUUGUCCUCACUGGCCUCCAAGUUUUCUAGGAUGAUGCAAUGUCCAGCCAUCAACACAUUUGUGAAGGAAUUUUUACUCCCCAAAAGAGCGCCCCCCCAUGGCAGGAGAAAAAAGUCCAUUUUUUCUUGUCCCCUAAGGUGAAAAUACACAUUGUUGAGUGUCACGCCUGUACGCUUUGUCAAAAUGACACAAAAAUUGACACACACAUGUAUCUCAAUAAGAUCUACAAAAAAGUCAAUGGGCGCGUAUCUGUCAAAUGUACGGUUAAAGGGUUAUUCCGCAUUUUUUGCCGAUUCGCACACAUUGGAAUUUCGCUAACUCCUCCGAAGGCUUUCGUUCCACCGGCACCACAUUUGCUCAGGCCAAAUUACACCCCAUGGCCAUUAAAAGUUAUUCAAAUCAUGACGCUGCACCCCACGGUUUACGUUCUAGGGGGCGCCAAAGAUAACCCAAAAAUCCAAAUUUUUAAAAGUCUUAUAACUUUUUAUUUUUGUCCUCACUGGCCUCCAAGUUUUCUAGGAUGAUGCAAUGUCCAGCCAUCAACACAUUUGUGAAGGAAUUUUUACUCCCUAAAAGAGCGCCCCCCAUGGCAGGAGAAAAAAGUCCAUUUUUUCUUGUCCCCUAAGGUGAAAAUACACAUUGUUGACUGUCAUGCCUGUACGCUUUGGCAAAAUGACACAAAAAUUGACAAUCAUGUGUAUCUCAAUUAGAUCUACGAAAAAGUCAAGAGCGCGUAUCUGUAUAAUGUACGGUAAAAGGGCUAUUUUGCAUUUUUUGCCGAUUCGCACAUAUUGGAAUUUCGCUAACUCCUCCUAAGGCUUUCGUCCCACUGACACCAAAUUUGCUCAGGCCAAUCUACACUCCAUGGCCAUUCAAAGUUGUAAAAAUCAUGACGCGGCACCCCACGGUUUACGUUUUAGGGGGCGCCAAAGAUGACCCAAAUAUACAUUACAGUAGACAAAGUAGUUUUGCCCACUGAGUGGCGCCAAAGGGACUUGUCUGUGGAGUCUGUGAGUCACUAUUGGCCGUUUUUGACUACUUUAGAUUUUACCUUUAUAUUUCCUCUUACAAAAUUUUUACCUUGCCUUGCCUGGUAUCAUUUUUUUCAGCACAACCUCACCUGUGUCAAUUUACAGUUAUUUUAUCAUUUUGACAUACUAUAUUUACACAUUGGACCCAAAUUCACACACAAAACAUAAAAUCCGAGUGGAAAAAAGUAACGUUUUUACUGUGAAAACCACAAAUAUGUGUGAUGAACUGUUUUUAAAACUUAAACUUCAAAUAAAAAUUGUAAACUUCAAAACAUAUGCAAAUUUUUAACAAAGAACAUAGUAAUUUACCUCUAUUGACAUCAAAAUGCAGGCAAUGGCCCAGGUGUUCUUUGUAAAAUUAUUUACAAAACACUGUAUAGUCUCACAAAUGUCACUUUUUAUUUAUGCCACUACAAAAAAACAUGAUGUAAAUGAUGCAUGAUGUAAAACAUGAUGUAAAAAACUUGUGUAGAUCCUCCUCUAUGUCAGUCCAUGUGUAAUUUUUCCAUAAUUCUUUGUUUUUUGCAGCAUUUUUGUUAGUGUAACUGCAGAUUGUGCUGACAGUGUCUAUGGCAAAAAAAAAACAAAAACUGAAAAUGCCUCAACAUGAACCCCUGGUGGUCUCUGAGGGUGAAACCUGCUAACUGCUGCAGCUCUGUCAGCUUCAGUCUCCCAUGCAGAGCUCGGAGCGCAUGUGUGGCUCUGCACCCUUAGCAGCGUUGCUAACUCCUCAGUAAGGAAAGCCUGCUUCAUGUCAGAGUCUCUAAACUCCAGAAGAAGUCGAUAAAAGUCACUUUCUUUCUAAAAAAACGUCGUUAGGGGGUCUGAAAAGUCAUUGAAUCUAACAACAAAGUCGCUAGGUUUGCAACUACGUGUCCCAGACUGCAUCCCUGCUUAGAGUCCCUCCCUCCCUUCUCAUAUUGCAGGAAGAACGUAAGCGC